This 1102-nucleotide long non-coding RNA is filed under the name Zonotrichia albicollis (white-throated sparrow). RNAcentral describes it as "lncRNA (ENSZALG00000013524.1)". The record is from RNAcentral. Lineage: Eukaryota; Metazoa; Chordata; Aves; Passeriformes; Passerellidae.
AAAAUUUUUUCUUGAUCCUCUCAGUUCUCUUCUUCCUCAGUUGAAACACCCCAGUUCCUGUAAGCAAUGAAAUGCAAACAUAUUUUUUACUACAGAGAGAGUGCUUUUACAGCAUUUUUUUCCACAAGAAGAAUGAAAAAAGAAUCUUCCUCUUAGGAAUAGGUGCAAUACUAAGGAAUGAAAAUGACAUCUGCAUUGAUCCUGACUCUCUAGGAAGCAUCGAUUCAGAGAACAGGUCCAUCUUUUUCAAGAUCCCUACUUCAUACAUAGGAAGAUUAGUACACUUAGCACGUUAAUGUUCCAGGACUUUCAAACUACUAGCAAAAAAACUUUUAACCUUCUCUGCCAGCAGCUGUACCAAAGGGGAGAGGAUGUAGGAAGGAAAAAAUAUUCUCCAGAGUUUGAAUCACUUCAGAUUAAUUGUUAUUAGGUUUUUUUUGGCCAUCCUCAGAGGUUUUAUUCAGUCCCUGAGGAAAAAAAAACCUCAACCAUCUCCUCCCCAAACAACCAUUAUUCUGGUCUAUGAAUAAUGUAAUGCAAUUUUAAAAAAAAUACCCCAAAGACAAACCACAACACCUAUCUUCUUUAUAUCUUCUGGACAUGAGCUGCAUUUGGGAAUAUACUUUGUGCUGGAAUUAAAGUUGUCAUCUUUGAACUGUUUGCAGAUCUUUCAGCAUUGAUGGAUUGCUAUGUGUUUGCAUAUAAUGCAUAUGAGAUUACCAGAUAAUGCAAAGCAUUUCCAAUUCUAGGCUGAUGUCCCCACACCCAUCCUUCACCUUUCUUGUCUCUCCUUCUAUGGAGAGUAAAAAUGAACAGAGUGUACAUAAAAGUAGAAAAAAAAACCCCUCAGAUUUCCAGGUGAUUAUUUGAAUGGAAGGGAAUAUUAACUUCUAAAUCUCACUUUUAAAAUUAGAUUAUGACAUGCUAAAGCAAAUUCAUUUGGUAGGUCUUAGUACCUGCCCUGCUUUGAAGAUGGCAGGGUUUGUAGUAGUGGUCAUGCUUUUGUGGGGAAAAAAAGAUGGCCAAAACGACCUUGUUUUUUUACAAACCAGGCAGAGUAUAUCUUAAUAAAUACAGACAAUCUAAGCUACUGGUUUCCUAU